CUCAUGAGUCGACUCAUGCCUUGAGAGUCGACUCAUGAGUCGACUCACAUGUUGUGCCAAGCCAAAAAUUCUGCAUGCCAAACUGCUCAUUGUGCCAUGAGCUGACUCAUGGGUCGACUCAUGGAUUUCAAACAUGCAUAACUUCAAAAAUACAAGUCCAAAAAUAAUAAAAUUUUUGCCAAUAGAUCACAAAUCUUUUGUUCUACCAAAUG
This 212-nucleotide long non-coding RNA is filed under the name Elaeis guineensis (African oil palm). RNAcentral's name for it is "long non-coding RNA (EGUI_LNC042429)". Lineage: Eukaryota; Viridiplantae; Streptophyta; Magnoliopsida; Arecales; Arecaceae. The record is from RNAcentral.